RNAcentral lists this ribosomal RNA (292 nucleotides) under uncultured bacterium. RNAcentral describes it as "partial 16S ribosomal RNA". It matches the Rfam family "Bacterial small subunit ribosomal RNA", at positions 505 to 796 of the family's 1533-position model. The record is from RNAcentral.
GUGUCAGCAGCCGCGGUAAGACGAACCGAGCAAACGUUAUUCGGAAUCACUGGGCUUAAAGGGCGCGUAGGCGGGCCGGCAAGUCAGGGGUGAAAGCCCCCAGCUCAACUGGGGAAGUGCCUUUGAUACUGCCGGUCUCGAGGGAGGUAGGGGCGUGCGGAACUUCCGGUGGAGCGGUGAAAUGCGUAGAUAUCGGAAGGAACACCGGUGGCGAAAGCGGCGCGCUGGACCUCUUCUGACGCUGAGGCGCGAAAGCCAGGGGAGCGAACGGGAUUAGAUACCCGGGUAGUCC